CUCUUCUUGGAAGAGUUGCGAACGGGUGAGUAACGCGUAGGUAACCUGCCUUGUAGCGGGGGAUAACUAUUGGAAACGAUAGCUAAUACCGCAUAACAAUGGGUGACCCAUGUCAUUCAUUUGAAAGGGGCAACUGCUCCACUACAAGAUGGACCUGCGUUGUAUUAGCUAGUAGGUGAGGUAACGGCUCACCUAGGCGACGAUACAUAGCCGACCUGAGAGGGUGAUCGGCCACACUGGGACUGAGACACGGCCCAGACUCCUACGGGAGGCAGCAGUAGGGAAUCUUCGGCAAUGGGGGCAACCCUGACCGAGCAACGCCGCGUGAGUGAAGAAGGUUUUCGGAUCGUAAAGCUCUGUUGUAAGUCAAGAACGAGUGUGAGAGUGGAAAGUUCACACUGUGACGGUAGCUUACCAGAAAGGGACGGCUAACUACGUGCCAGCAGCCGCGGUAAUACGUAGGUCCCGAGCGUUGUCCGGAUUUAUUGGGCGUAAAGCGAGCGCAGGCGGUUUGAUAAGUCUGAAGUUAAAGGCUGUGGCUCAACCAUAGUUCGCUUUGGAAACUGUCAAACUUGAGUGCAGAAGGGGAGAGUGGAAUUCCAUGUGUAGCGGUGAAAUGCGUAGAUAUAUGGAGGAACACCGGUGGCGAAAGCGGCUCUCUGGUCUGUAACUGACGCUGAGGCUCGAAAGCGUGGGGAGCGAACAGGAUUAGAUACCCUGGUAGUCCACGCCGUAAACGAUGAGUGCUAGGU
This 752-nucleotide ribosomal RNA is filed under the name Streptococcus sp. C150. RNAcentral describes it as "bacterial SSU rRNA". It matches the Rfam family "Bacterial small subunit ribosomal RNA", at positions 81 to 821 of the family's 1533-position model. Lineage: Bacteria; Bacillati; Bacillota; Bacilli; Lactobacillales; Streptococcaceae. The record is from RNAcentral.